RNAcentral lists this unclassified non-coding RNA (249 nucleotides) under Hevea brasiliensis (rubber tree). The record is from RNAcentral. Lineage: Eukaryota; Viridiplantae; Streptophyta; Magnoliopsida; Malpighiales; Euphorbiaceae.
AGUCAGGAUUUGCAUGUAGAACUAUAAUUCGAGACUCCAUCAUCGCAACCUGGACUAACAAAUCCAUCAUCUCGCUCUGGGUUGCUCCUGGCGAGAAUCCAGCCUUAAAAGAAAUCUUGCAGCGCCUCUCUGCAAGUUUAUCGCCCAAGGAAGCUACACCAUUUCUACCAUAAUCAUCGUCGAUGAAUAUCGCAAUCACUUGCUUCCACUGGUAAUAAUCGACUAUUUCAGCUAUAGCAGCCAUUUGGA